GAAGUGGGUAAGGAGUAGGAGCAGUACAGAGAUGAUCCAUGCAGGUCCCGGAAUAGCCGUUCUUUGGCAGGCUUUGUGGAAGAGCAGCCAAUCAGGUUUUCCUGGGACUCCUGGAAACUUUCUAAACUCUGUGCUGGCGUGCUGGCCAGUCUCCAGCAGAAGGAAGGAAAGCCUGUGAGGUCUGGUUGAUUGGGGACAGGAGUGUCACAACCCCAGCCUUACACGGUCAUGAAGAUGCCACUUUGAUGUUUCCCCAACUGACCUGAGGAGGUAGAAUACACUCUUUAAUAGGCCAACUCAGACUCCCUCCCUUAGCUGCUGCAAGAAGCUAGAGAGAGCUUGAAGUGAAUGACAAUUUGGAGAAACAGCCGCAGCCUGAAGAUCUAAGAGGCUCUAAAGAAGAUGGAUAAGAAAAUCGAUGCAUAAUAAAAGCUGCAGGCAAAGCCACCUUGACACAG
This is a long non-coding RNA of Grammomys surdaster, 458 nucleotides long. RefSeq lists it as uncharacterized. The transcript is spliced from 4 exons. NCBI's taxonomy places the organism in Eukaryota, Metazoa, Chordata, Mammalia, Rodentia, Muridae. The record is from RefSeq and is a predicted model, not a curated record.